RNAcentral lists this ribosomal RNA (309 nucleotides) under uncultured bacterium. Its description in RNAcentral is "partial 16S ribosomal RNA". It matches the Rfam family "Bacterial small subunit ribosomal RNA", at positions 504 to 808 of the family's 1533-position model. The record is from RNAcentral.
AGAGACAGCAGUCGCCGCGGGAAUACAGAGGGUGCGAGCGUUAAUCGGAUUUACUGGGCGUAAAGCGUGCGUAGGCGGCUUCUUAAGUCGGAUGUGAAAUCCCUGAGCUUAACUUAGGAAUUGCAUUCGAUACUGGGAAGCUAGAGUAUGGGAGAGGAUGGUAGAAUUCCAGGUGUAGCGGUGAAAUGCGUAGAGAUCUGGAGGAAUACCGAUGGCGAAGGCAGCCAUCUGGCCUAAUACUGACGCUGAGGUACGAAAGCAUGGGGAGCAAACAGGAUUAGAUACCGCGUAGUCCCUGUCUCUUAUACA